UACGUAGGGGGCAAGCGUUGUCCGGAUUUAUUGGGCGUAAAGAGCGUGUAGGCGGCCUGAAAGGUCAGCUGUGAAAAACUCGAGGCUCAACCUCGAGACGUCGGUUGAAACCAUCUGGCUAGAGUCCGGAAGAGGAGUGUGGAAUUCCCGGUGUAGCGGUGAAAUGCGCAGAUAUCGGGAAAGAACACCCGUGGCGAAGGCGGCACUCUGGGACGGUACUGAACGCU
Molecule: ribosomal RNA, 227 nt
Filed under: uncultured bacterium
Lineage: Bacteria
Description: partial 16S ribosomal RNA
Rfam family: Bacterial small subunit ribosomal RNA
Source: RNAcentral